GCUCACGAUCUCACAAAAUGGGAUCUGUUCAGUAACUGCUACAGAUUACUGAGAACUGGAAUUGAACACGGAGCUAUGCCAGAACAGAUAGUUGUUCAGGCACUGCAGUGUUCCCAUUACUCUAUUCUCUGGCAGCUGGUGAAAAUCACUGAAGGCUCCCCUUCCAAAGAGGACUUGUUGGUAUUGAGGAAAACUGUGAAAUCCUUUCUGGCCGUCUGCCAGCAGUGUCUAUCAAAUGUCAACACUCCAGUCAA
Molecule: non-coding RNA, 254 nt
Organism: Tinamus guttatus (white-throated tinamou)
Lineage: Eukaryota; Metazoa; Chordata; Aves; Tinamiformes; Tinamidae
Source: RefSeq, a predicted model, not a curated record